GGAAGGAUCAUUAACGCAUUCUUCAACAACAAACCUUCAAGGUUUGGGCUGCUGCGUGCAUACUCACGUGUGCACGCGCCUCAAACUUUGUUGUGCACCCCCUUCCCCAUUAUUGAUAUGUAACAUUAUACAUUGCACACACAUAUUGUGUAUCAUGGUCUGCGCGCGCUGCUCACGCAUGUGCGUGCAGCUAUGACACCAACCCAUGUGUGCAAUGCAACACAACACACAACCAAAACCAAACUCAACACAUAUAUAAAAAAACAAAACAAUAAUAUAUAACAAAGAAACAACUCCUAACAACGGAUAUCUUGGUUCUCGCGAGGAUGAAGAACGCAGCGAAAUGCGAUACGUAAUGUGAAUCGCAGGGAUCAGUGAAUCAUCAAAUCUUUGAACGCAUGUUGCGCUCUCGGUACCCCCGGGAGCACGUUCGCUUGAGUGCCGCCAACAUAAUAUAAUAUCAUCAAAUUAUUAUUCUCACUUUUGGUCCUCCCUCCCCUCUGCGCCGCAAGGUCGUUGUGGGGGGCAGUGCCAGAAAGCGGGCCUCACGCAUGCAUACCGUGUGCGUGUGGCCUUAGUGUUCUCUGUGGGUGGUGGCCCGUGUCAAUUUACACGCGUGGCUUUCUCUCCCCUCCCUUUGGCCUCAAUAUCCUUUGUGAGGUGCGAUAGUUCGGGGUUUUCCAGUGGGGGCGCGGUGCCUUGCUGUUGGCGCUCUGGGCGUGUUUGUCUCGUCGUGUGCGGGCGUGAUGCAUGAUGCAUAUUGCAAUUGGCCACAUAUGUGUGCACCAAUGAUGAGUGAGAUGAUUAUCUGUGCGCCAAAUUGGCGCCCAUUUAUUGUCACGCCUGUUGUGGUACAUACGCUAAGUAUGGGGUCGUGCGAUGUGUGGCAUGGGUUACUGCUUGUGGCGUGACUUGAGAUGAACUCCCAGUGGCAAUAUACAAACCAAUAGCAGCGGCCUGUGCCUCAAAAACGCUGGGGGAUUCUCUAUCCACCGCAUGGGGACUGAUCCAGAGAGGGGGCUGAUGAGAUAAUUACAGCCUGCGUGUAAAACGGGUAUUGCCCUCCAUUACAUCACACAACCAACCAAAACAAAAACACAACACACCGGCCUCAAGUCGGGCGACAUUACCCGCCGAAUUUAAGCAUAUUAAUAAGCGGAGGAAAAGAAACCAACAGGGAUUCCCUUAGUAGCGGCGAGCGAAGCGGGAAAAGCCCAAGCUCUGAAUCUGGGUCGCCUGAGAGUCAAAUCAAUAACAAUUGGCACCCCGAAUUGUGGUCUCGCGGCUGGCAUCGUGCGGUCUAUGACUGUGUAGGCAAAAGUCCCUUGGAAAAGGGCGCCAGGGAGGGUGACAGCCCCGUCCUUAGGCCUACUUGCAGUGUAAGGCUAUUUCUACACGUUGUACCAUGCCCCAGAGUCGGGUUGUUUGGGAAUGCAGCCCUAAGCGGGUGGUAAAUCCCACCCAAGGCUAAAUAUCAGCGAGAGACCGAUAGCGAACAAGUACCGUGAGGGAAAGGUGAAAAGGACUUUGAAAAGAGAGUCAAAAGUGCUUGAAAUUGUUAGGAGGGAAGCGAUCGGCGCCGGCCUCCCAUUGCCGCCCCUCCGGGACUGUUCAGUUCUAGCCCGCAAGGGCUAGGAUGCACUCAGUCUUGAGGGUGCGGGCCAGCAUCAGUUCGUCAUCAAGCGGUGGCUGACGGCCCCUGGAUUCUUACUGGGUGGAGGGGACUGCGGCUUCACGGCCGUAUGCCUCCCUUCAUCAGCCGGGGUGACCUGCUUACAUCGCACGGACUGAGGAUAUUGCACCAUGCCUGUGCUUGCUUCGGCAGGCCGGUCAGCUGGGUGUCACCGUGGCGGAUUCACGUGAUGGGUAUCGAGAAACUCGAUCUGCCUGACGUGUUGAGUCUGUCGCUCGAUGGCAUCCAGCCCCAGCAGGCUGGCGAUGCUGGCCAUUCCACCGAGGUGGGGGACAUUCACGUGCCUCUCAUUCUCGUAACGACGCUGAUCGACCCGUCUUGAAACACGGACCAAGGAGUCUAACACGUGCGCGAGUGUCCGGGUGGUCAAACCCUGGCGCGUAGUGAAAGCAGAGUUGUCCGCACUUCGUGUGGCGGACCGUGGUGGGACUGGGCUGCUCUCGGGCAGUCCACGCACCACCAGCCGACCUGGAUUUGUUUUUGAAAGGUUCGAGCCAGAGCGCAUAUGUCAGGACCCGAAAGAUUGUGAACUAUGGGUGACCAGGACGAAGCCAGAGGAAACUCUGGUGGAGGUCCGAAGUGAUACUGACGUGCAAAUCGUUCAUCUGAGUUGCCUAUAGGGGCGAAAGACUAAUCGAACAAUCUAGUAGCUGGUUCCCUC
RNAcentral lists this unclassified non-coding RNA (2354 nucleotides) under uncultured fungus. Its description in RNAcentral is "sequence contains 18S rRNA gene, ITS1, 5.8S rRNA gene, ITS2, 28S rRNA gene". The stretch from base 1107 to 2354 matches the Rfam family "Eukaryotic large subunit ribosomal RNA", at positions 1 to 961 of the family's 3401-position model. Lineage: Eukaryota; Fungi. The record is from RNAcentral.